Molecule: ribosomal RNA, 495 nt
Filed under: cf. Disparella sp. BOLD:ADL3347
Lineage: Eukaryota; Metazoa; Arthropoda; Malacostraca; Isopoda; Desmosomatidae
Description: partial 16S ribosomal RNA
Source: RNAcentral
UUCCUUUUUUUUAAAAGGUAUUYUUUGCUCCAUGAAAAAAAUUUUAAAUAGCCGCAGUACUCUAACUGUGCUAAGGUAGCAUAAUAAUCUGUCUCUUAAUUAGAUUCCUGUAUAAAUGAGAUCACGACGCUUUUACUUUUCUAAAAAUUUUAAUAAAAACUAAUAUUUGUUUCAAAAAAAACAACUCCCCGGGGAGACGACAAGACCCCGUGAAACUUUAUUUUUAACUUAUCUCUACCUUUAGAAUUUAUAGUUAUAAAAAAAAAAUUAAGCUGGGGCGGCAUUAAAAAGACUUUUAUACAAAAAACAAAAAAAAUUUCUGACUAAAUAGAUCUUAUUUUAAAUAAAAGAUAAAAUAAGUUACUCCGGGGAUAACAGCACAAUUUUUUUAGAUAGACCAGAUAGAUAAAAAAGACUUGUGACCUCGAUGUUGAAUUGGAGAGCCAGGGCUGAGCAGAAAAAACCUUUGGAGGUCUGUUCGACCUUUAAUCCUUC